AUUUAAAUAGCUUAUUUAAAGUGUAAUAUUGAAGAUAUUAAGAAAAUUAAAAUUAAUUUUUAAAUA
RNAcentral lists this transfer RNA (66 nucleotides) under Pheidole flavigaster. RNAcentral's name for it is "tRNA-Phe". Lineage: Eukaryota; Metazoa; Arthropoda; Insecta; Hymenoptera; Formicidae. The record is from RNAcentral.